This 1707-nucleotide ribosomal RNA is filed under the name Massilia norwichensis. RNAcentral's name for it is "partial 23S ribosomal RNA". It matches the Rfam family "Bacterial large subunit ribosomal RNA", at positions 1223 to 2925 of the family's 2925-position model. The record is from RNAcentral. Lineage: Bacteria; Pseudomonadati; Pseudomonadota; Betaproteobacteria; Burkholderiales; Oxalobacteraceae.
AUAUGGUAGGAGAGCGUUCUGUAAGCCUGCGAAGGUGUCUUGUAAAGGAUGCUGGAGGUAUCAGAAGUGCGAAUGCUGACAUGAGUAGCGAUAAAGAGGGUGAAAAGCCCUCUCGCCGAAAGCCCAAGGUUUCCUGUUCAACGUUCAUCGGAGCAGGGUGAGUCGGCCCCUAAGGCGAGGCAGAGAUGCGUAGCUGAUGGGAAGCAGGUUAAUAUUCCUGCACCGUCGUAUGAUGCGAUGGGGGGACGGAUCGCGGAAGGUUGUCUGACUGUUGGAAUAGUCAGUUUCUGGUUCAUAGAAGGUGCUUAGGCAAAUCCGGGCACGUAAUUCAAGGGACUGGGACGAGCGGGUUUAUCCUGCGAAGCAAUCGGAAGUGGUUCCAAGAAAAGCCUCUAAGCUUCAGUCAUACGAGACCGUACCGCAAACCGACACAGGUGGGCGAGAUGAGUAUUCUAAGGCGCUUGAGAGAACUCGGGAGAAGGAACUCGGCAAAUUGGUACCGUAACUUCGGGAUAAGGUACGCCCCGGUAGCUUGAUUGGUUUACUCCAUGAGGGUGAAAGGGUUGCAAUAAACUGGUGGCUGCGACUGUUUAAUAAAAACACAGCACUCUGCAAACACGAAAGUGGACGUAUAGGGUGUGACGCCUGCCCGGUGCUGGAAGAUUAAAUGAUGGGGUGCAAGCUCUUGAUUGAAGUCCCAGUAAACGGCGGCCGUAACUAUAACGGUCCUAAGGUAGCGAAAUUCCUUGUCGGGUAAGUUCCGACCUGCACGAAUGGCGUAACGAUGGCCACACUGUCUCCUCCCGAGACUCAGCGAAGUUGAAAUGUUUGUGAUGAUGCAAUCUACCCGCGGCUAGACGGAAAGACCCCAUGAACCUUUACUGUAGCUUUGCAUUGGACUUUGAACCAAUCUGUGUAGGAUAGGUGGGAGGCUUUGAAGCGGGGACGCCAGUUCUCGUGGAGCCAUCCUUGAAAUACCACCCUGGUUUGUUUGAGGUUCUAACCUUGGCCCGUGAUCCGGGUCGGGGACAGUGCAUGGUAGGCAGUUUGACUGGGGCGGUCUCCUCCUAAAGUGUAACGGAGGAGUUCGAAGGUACGCUAGGUACGGUCGGACAUCGUGCUAAUAGUGCAAUGGCAUAAGCGUGCUUAACUGCGAGACCGACAAGUCGAGCAGGUACGAAAGUAGGACAUAGUGAUCCGGUGGUUCUGUAUGGAAGGGCCAUCGCUCAACGGAUAAAAGGUACUCUGGGGAUAACAGGCUGAUUCCUCCCAAGAGUUCAUAUCGACGGGGGAGUUUGGCACCUCGAUGUCGGCUCAUCACAUCCUGGGGCUGUAGCCGGUCCCAAGGGUAUGGCUGUUCGCCAUUUAAAGUGGUACGUGAGCUGGGUUUAAAACGUCGUGAGACAGUUUGGUCCCUAUCUGCCGUGGGCGUUGGAAAUUUGAAGGGGGCUGCUCCUAGUACGAGAGGACCGGAGUGGACGAACCUCUGGUGUACCGGUUGUCACGCCAGUGGCAUUGCCGGGUAGCUAAGUUCGGAAGAGAUAACCGCUGAAAGCAUCUAAGCGGGAAACUCGCCUUGAGAUGAGAUUUCCCGGAGCCUUGAGCUCCUUGAAGGGUCGUUCGAGACCAGGACGUUGAUAGGCUGGGUGUGGAAGUGCAGUAAUGCAUUAAGCUAACCAGUACUAAUUGCCCGUACGGCUUGUCCCU